Molecule: non-coding RNA, 294 nt
Organism: Vicia faba (fava bean)
Lineage: Eukaryota; Viridiplantae; Streptophyta; Magnoliopsida; Fabales; Fabaceae
Source: the annotation of a GenBank genome assembly
AUGCUCCAAAACAUCCUAAAACAGUCCCUGCAAAGACAACCUCCUAUGCUGUCCAAAAACCAGCUGCUACUAGCUUGUAGAGACAUGCCAAAAAAAACCUGUCCACUCCCCUCCAAGACUUGUCAACAUUGCACAAAAAUGGUAAUACAAAACCGGAAUCAACAAAGCUAUAAAAUAGUUAACCAAAUCUAUUCAAAUCCUCAAGUUUUUCCCCCUAAAACCCCACUCUCAUUCACUAUAAAAACACCAACGAUAAGCAAACAAAGAUACAAAAAUUUCAUAGAAAAUCAAUAA